GACAGAGGUCCCGAGCGUUAGGCGGAAUCACUGGGCUUAAAGCGUGUGUAGGCGGAUCGUUAAGUGCCUUGUGAAAUCCCAUGGCUUAACCAUGGAACUGCUUGGCAUACUGGCGGUCUUGAGCCACUUAGGGGCAACCGGAACAAAUGGUGGAGCGGUGAAAUGCGUAGAUAUCAUUUGGAACGCCAAUGGUGAAAACAGGUUGCUGGGAGUGUGCUGACGCUGAGACACGAAAGCCAGGGGAGCGAACAGG
This 253-nucleotide ribosomal RNA is filed under the name uncultured bacterium. Its description in RNAcentral is "partial 16S ribosomal RNA". It matches the Rfam family "Bacterial small subunit ribosomal RNA", at positions 524 to 776 of the family's 1533-position model. The record is from RNAcentral.